This 64-nucleotide ribosomal RNA is filed under the name Endoconidioma populi. RNAcentral describes it as "partial 28S ribosomal RNA". Lineage: Eukaryota; Fungi; Ascomycota; Dothideomycetes; Dothideales; Dothideaceae. The record is from RNAcentral.
GGUGAGAUCUCAUUGCCGUUAAACCUUUUUAUUUUACAGGUUGACCUCGGAUCAGGUAGGGAUA